CUCUUUUCGACUGUGUGGGAAGACCCUGCACUUGUCAUCUGAGGCCCUUCUCUACGUUCCCCCUCUCUGAGAGGUCUGGAGGGUGACAACACGAGAACAGGCCUUUUCUGUGGUGGCUCCCUAUCUCUGAAAUGCUCUCCCUAGAGAGGCUCGCCUAGCACAAUCAUUACACAUCUUUAAGCACCAGGUAAAAACAUUCCUCUUUACCCAGGCCUUCAACCGUUAAGUAAUUUAUGACCUGUUAAAUGUAGUGGAGAACUGUUAUUAUGAUUAUUAUAUUAAGGUGUGUAUUAUUAAGCUAUGUGUUAUGUUUUUAUUAUUAAUUAUGCUCUCUGAAUUAUAUUUUUAAUGUUGUACUCUGCCCUGCGAUCUUUGGAUAAAGGGUGGUAUACUAUUUGAAAUAAUAAUAAUAAUAAUAAUAAUGUGAAAUUAUGACUCGACACCAUCAUGUUCAUUCUAGUAAUACAAACGCCAAUCACAGGCUAAACUGAAGGUCACCUGAGAUACAGUGCUACUCCGGAAUACGUCCUGUUGCACCCAGUGGGUAAUAUUUCUGAUUAGACAUAUAUAAGGUUGCUUUGUUGCUCAACUUUAACCCAGUUUUGUCCCACUCAAAUCAGCACUCUAAUAUGGAAUGAGUUUGGCAACACACAGCAGCUGAUGUUUAUAACACUAUAUAGAUCCUCAGUGCUAUAUUUAGUGUCCGAAUCAUCCAAAUGCUGACAAAUUUGUAGGCUAUAUAAAAUGGGAAAGACUUUCCUUUUCUUAAAAUGCUCCAUUCAGCACAUUAUCUUCACUAGGCAGCCUUUGUGCCUUAACUUAUUGAUUUAUUACUGACUCAACCCUAAAGUGUAUAUUACUGCAAUGGUGUAGGAAAUGCUUCGCCUUGUUAUUUUCACAUACUGCAGUAUACAUGUGUUAAGGAAACGUGGUUGACGUAAUUUAUACUGCUCCUUCCAAAAACCUCCCACUGUUUUAGAAUGGUUUCGUUAGAGGUUGGGGUGGAAUUCCAUUUCGCUUCCCACAUUACUUGGGUAGUAUGGGAGCUGCUGCUGUAAAAUUCUUUCCCAUUCUGCCCGGGUAGCAUGAGAAGUCCUAGGCAAGGCACACUGUGGCUCCUUUCCAUGGCAGUGUUGACCAAACCAAAGUGUUAGGAGGAGCUCCAAAACAGAGAUAAGAAGAACAAAGACAGCUCUAGUCCAGUACCCUGUUUCAAACUAUGGCUGGGCAGAUGGGUAAAACCUAUUUGGUGUUUCACAACUUUCUGACUAGUUGCAGGACGUUAGCCAGACCUAGCAGAGCAAACGCAGAAUCCACGGAAGCAAUUGGCGACUUGGCUGUAGACAGGAUAGACGAAGCAGGAACCAGGAACUUGUAGUUAGGUGUUUAUUAUAUACAGUGGACUAUUUACAGGAACAGAACACGGAUCUUUUGCUAGCUCUCUCUGACACAACUCACAACUCCUACACUCACUGACACACUGAACCACUGAACACUGAAAUACUGAACUAACACAUUCCAGUUAGUAGGCCAUUAGUUAUCACUUGUAUUUAGUGGAUGAAACUUUUUGAUCUGGAUGUUCCCAAUACCUGUCAUGAAUAGUUGUCAGAGAUAUACCCCAUAUCCACAAAUGGUUUCCUCCUAAAUGACUUGGAUCAUUACAUUAUCCAGGCAGAGUUCGCAUUCCAUCCAGGGCUAGCCCUACCAUUAGACUGAGACAAACACCUCAGGCGGCAGAUAACGGUGGUGGUGCUAUUCUCCUAUAUUGUUUCAAAGCCUUUCCUGGGCCCCUCCUGGGCCUACUAUCUCAGGUGUGGCAGGAGGACACCACACCGCCACCAGUUUUGAAGCCAGAUUUAACUGCAAGUUCUGUUGGCUUCUGUUCAUGGAACAGGGAGGGUGUCUUUUGCCUCAGGCGGCCAUUUUGUAUUGGGCAGGCCCUGAUUCCAACCACAAGCAUGAUGAGAUGUAGGAGCCAUAGACACUAAUGAGAUGCAGGUGACUGCUCUAUGAAAAAUAAAAAAUUUAUCUGCCACAGUUGGGGGCACUUAGUUUUAUCUACUGCUACCUUCCCCCCUGCAGCUCUGCCAGUUAAGGAGCUACUACUAAAUAGCUAUUCCAUCUACAAGGCUCCUUCUCUGAUCCCCCACCCCUGGAAAAAGCUCUAAUUACAACAACGUGUUGGAACUGAGCGAUCAAAGUGUUCAAGUCCACUAAUCACCAUUUGACAUGUUGUCUUUUAUCUCUUCAAGAUCACUUUCAUCUGUUCAUUAGAAUCUUUUGACUCUGAAAUCUCCGAGGGUCCUGCUGAUGUCCUUUCCCCCACCGGUUCAAAGUACAGUAUGUCGCACCAGAACAGAUGGGACUCAUUAGCUGUAGCCCACUGUAAAGCGAAGGCGGGGGGGGGGGGAGAGACCCUCAGGGACCCCUUACCUCCAGAGCUCCUACAGGCUUUGCGGCUGUCUGUUUGGUACGCCACCAUCCCUUUUGACCAACAUUAUCGCAAACAGUUUUGUUUGCAGAAGUGGUUCCUCUGAUCUCAGCUAAUGGUGUGCCCACAGCCAUGCCAGUAAUUAGCUGGCUGUUGUCAUGGAGACGACAACAGCUCUGUGGUGUCUUGGGAUUCCGGUCUUCAAGUACACCGCAGACCCCCAAGAUGUGCUGAUCUUGAAUUUCAGAGGAAGGCUUGUAAGCAUUCUGGGGCAAACGUAGCAGCAAAGAUCUAUGCUUGUAAGUGGCACCCGGAAUGCUUGGAUAGCUCAGUUGGUUAGAGUGUGGUGCUGAUAACACCAAGGUUGCAGGUUCGAUAGCUGUGUAUUCCUGAAUUGCAGGGUGUUGGUGGACUUGAUGAUCCUCAGGAGCCCUUCCAACUCUACAAUUCUGCGAUUUUAUGCUUUUGUAUCUUCUCUACCGAUGGAUCUUAGUGGCAUUGUUUCAACCUAUGAAUGCCUGCUGAGAAUCUUCCUAUGCUGCCAGACUUAUGAAAACAAUUAAGAAAACAUGUUUCCAUAAUAGUGGAUGGUCUCUGAUUUUAAAUUUUUAUGUGAGUUGGGGUUUUUUUAUGAUAUAGCGAUAUAUAAAUAUUUUAAAGAAAGAAAGAAAGAAAGAAAGAAAGAAAGAGAGAGAGAAAGAAAGAAAGAAAGAAAGAAAGAAAGAAAGAAAGAAAGAAAGAAAGAAAGGCAGGCAGGCUAUAUGCAACCUUCCUAUUCAGAGGCAAGAGGCUAGUGAAUAUCAGUUGCUGGAAGCAAGGGCAGGAAAGGGCGAUGGCCUUCAUUUCCUGCUUUGGGGCUUCUCUGUGUCAUCUUCUCUGGCCACAAUCCUUACCCAACCUCAAAGAAAGAUACAGAUAGGGAAUAGGCGCCUCUCCUGGACAGGGAUAGCCUAAUUUCUGUUGUCUAUGCUCUGGUAACCUUCAGGUUAGAUUACUGCAAGGCAUUAUACACGGGACUGCCUUUGAAAAUAGUUUGGAAACUGCAGCUAGAAGACCUGAGGACAUCCCACUGGUCCUGGCCUGGCUGCAGUGGCUACCAAUUAGAUUCUGGGUCCAAUUCAACGUGCUGGUCUUGACCUAUAAAGCCUUAUGUAGCUUGGGGCCCCAGUAUCUCUGUGUAUCUCUUCAUCUGAACCAUCUCGGACCCUUGCAAUUGUCAUCUGAGGCCUUUCUUUGUGUGCCCCUUCCAUGGGAGGUCCACGGUGUGGCAACACAAGAACAGGUUUUUUCUCUGAUGGCUCCCUGCCUCUGUAAUGCUCUCCAUCUCAAGUUCAUUUGUGCCCUCUGUAAUGCCUCAUUCAGGUAUAAGGUAAAGGGACCCCUGACCAUUAGGUCCAGUCGUGGCCGACUCUAGGGUUGCAGCGCUCAUCUCGCUUUAUUGGCUGAGGGAGCCAGCGUACAGCUUCCGGGUCAUGUGGCCAGCAUGACUAAGCCGCUUCUGGCGAACCAGAGCAGCGCACAGAAAUGCCGUAUACCUACCCGCCGGAAUGGUACCUAUUUAUCUACUUGCACUUUCGAACUGCUAGGCUGGCAUGAGCAGGGACCGAGCAACGGGAGCUCACCCCGUCGCAGGGAUUCAAACUGCAGACCUUCUGAUCUGCAAGUCCUAGGCUCUGUGGUUUAACCCACAGCGCCACCUGCAUCCCCAUUCAGGUAUAAACCUGCAUUCAGGUAUAAACCUGCAUCCUAAUAUUAUUCUGAAGUGCCUUUAACUCUAUCCCUUCGCAUCCCUGGCUGUCCCUAGUGGCAAUGGGGGGACAAACAUCCUAACGCCAGGAUCUCCCUCCUGACUGUUCUAUUCCCUUUCUUAAAAACGCGUUCUACCAAAACCAACAGGGCAUAUCCCCCUAGGAAAUAAGAAUUUGGAGUGGAACGUUAGCUGCAGGAGCCAAGUAUUUAUCAAAUAUUUUCCCCAGUAACAUGAAAAUCUUUGGGGAUCCUUCAAACUAACGAGGAGUAAUUUCCCUCCUUCAAGUAUCUGACUGUUAAAUCAAAACCCAAAUUUUGUUCACAAGCUAAUGUUCUGCUUGUAGUCGUAUCAUCUGUUUGCGCAAUCCAAUUUCACUGCUGAAAUACAGUUGAGAAUUUAAAGUGAUGCUCUGCUCCAUCUCCUGACUCUGGGAUUCCUUGUUCAGGCAAUAGCCUAUUAUGGUAUGUGGCGGUUUGGGAUGUUUCUUCUUCUUCUUCCUUUUCCCAAAGUCUUCUUCUAAUGUAAAUAGCAAUUUUGGCUCAAGCCAAUCAAACGGGAAUUCAGGGCAAAUGAUACCUGCACAGCGAGCCAGGUGGGAGAAAUUUUAGUACACAAGAGCAAUGUAUCAGGGAUAAUGAAAGAAAUUUUGCUGACAGUUUCACCGAAUACAGCAAAGAUGCAUCCAAACAAAAGGAAAUCCAGAGAAUUAUGAAGGGGAUGAGAUAUUGAUUUGGGGGAACAGAGUAAAUAUAUACCGUACAUAUAAUAGUGGUAUGCUGGAUGUAUUUGAGAGACAGGGUUAAAGUGGUACCUCAGGUUACAAACGCCUCGGGUUACAAAUACUUCGGAUUACAGACUCCGCUAACCCGGGAGUGUGGAAAAUUCCACUCCUCCCGUGCUGCAGAUGUGUGGGAUUGUUACAUGUCACAUGUCUGUUUACAUUCCAGCACUGAUUAUUGGGUCUUGUGAGCGGAAAGGGAGAUACGCUGUUUCCGCUCUGUAUAGCUAUUGCUUUUUCAGUUCUCUCUCUGAGGAAGAAAAACAGAGAGAGAAGCCAUGUUUUUCUUUGUUCUGUUACGUUUUGCAAUAAAUUAGGCUUAGAUGUUACUCUUCAGGGCUAAGCCUCUGUUUGGACUCUGCUAGUUGUGCACUCAUGUCCUUGGAACUGGGUCACAUCAGCGUGACAGGAGUACCUCAGGUUAAGAACUUUACCUCAGGAUGAGAAUAGAAAUCGCAUGCCGGCAGAGGGAGGCCCCAUUAGCUAAAGUGGUACCUCAGGUUAAGAACGGUUUCAGGUAAGAAUGGACCUCCAGAAUGAAUUAAGUUCGUAACCAGAGGUACCAUUGUACUUGCUUUUUCUGGCAGUGCAGUGCAUUGAGCAAUGGAAACACCAGGCCUGCUAUUCUCCGAGAGUAUGAAAGCAAACAAUUUGCUGCUUCUUAUACUUGGACUAAUUGCCUAAUUAUAUCCAGAUGCUAUCAAUUUUUUCUGUCUCUCUUAAAGUCUCUUGUAUCCUUCCUUUUGGCUUACUCAUCCCCCUCUGAAACUAGGGUCACAUUGACACAACGCAUUUAAAGUGCUAUGAUGGGUAAAGGUAAAGGUAAAGGAUCCCUGGGCGGUUAAGUCCAGUCAAAGGCGACUAGGGGGUUUGCAGCACUCAUCUCGCUUUCAGGCCAAGGGAGCCGGUGUUUGUCCACAGACAGCUUUCCAGCUCAUGUGGCCAGCAUGACUAAACCGCUUCUGGUGCAACGGAACACCGUGACAAGUGCCAGAGCGUGCAGAAACGCCGUUUACCUUCCCACCACAGUGGUACCUAUUUAUCUACUUGCACUGACAUGCUUUCAAACUGCUAGGUUGGCAGGAGCUGGGACCAAGCAACAGGAGCUCACUCCAUCGCAGGGAUUCGAACCGCCGACCUUCCGAUCGGCAAGCCCAAGAGGCUCAGUGGUGUAGAUCACAGCACCACCCGCAUCCUGCUAGGAUACCAUACCCCCCAAGUGCCCCUAUUUCUCACGGACAGUCCUGGAACUAUGAAAGCCAUCCCAACUUUUGAUUUGAUUCCAGAAUGUCCCUAUUUCCCCUGCCACUGCUGCCGAGCUCGGGGAGGAGAAUGAGCUGGCGCUCAUCCCAAGAGAUGGCUGCGGCGGGGGCUGUGAGGGAGCCUCCCAUGACUUCUCCAUGACUUCCGCUGCCAGCCGCCAGUGUGGUGUAGUGGUUAAGAGCGGUGGACUCGUAAUCUGGUGAACCGGGUUCGGUCCCCGCUCCUCCACAUGCAGCUGCUGGGUGACCUUGGGCUAGUCACACUUCUCUGAAGUCUCUCAGCCCCACUCACCUCACAGAGUGUUUGCUGUGGGGGUGGAAGGGAAAGGAGAAUGUUAGCCGCUUUGAGACUCCUUCGGGUAGUGAUAAAGCGGGAUAUCAAAUCCAAACUCCUCCUCCUCUUCUUCUUCUUCUUCUUCAGCAGCUCGUAGUGGCUUCUGGAGAGUGGGCGAGGAGGAAGAGAGGCUGCCGUCGCUGGGGCCCAGCCCCACGUGAUGCGCCAGCUCUGAGAGACAGGCAGAGGGCAGGGCUGCCCUGGGCAGGAAGAAAGGGGAAACGGAUUGCAAGGAGUGUUGAUUUUAUUUAUCUUUUAAUGCUCCGUGCAUCUGCAUCUAGUCUUUCCCCUUUCUAAAAUUUAUUUGUUGGCCAGUGUUUUUCUUUUUGUAAAUCUACCAAAGAAUAAAAUUAAAUCAGGGUUUUCUUAAGGGGUUUUCUUAGGAAGGUGGCGGGAUGUCAGUGCUAUAUCUUGUUGGUUUAGUGAUUGUGGCAUUCAUGCUUCUGGGGGCGGGGACACACACAAAAUGGGGGUCAAUUGGAGGGAAGUGAUAUAUGUCUCUAUUUUCAUCUGAGGAAUGUUGGAGGGUAUUGUAAACUAUCACAACAUCCCUUAAAGAAUUCUGGGAGAUGUAGUUUGAGUUAAGGGUGGCGCUGUGGGUUAAACCACAGAGCCUAGGACUUGCUGAUCAGAAGGACGGCGGUUUGAAUCCCCGCGACAGGGUGAGCUCCCGUUGCUCGGUCCCUGCUCCUGCCAACCUAUCAGUUCAAAUGCACGUCAAAGUGCAAGUAGGUAAAUAGGUACCGCUUCGGCGGGAAGGUAAACGGCAUUUCUGUGCGCUGCUCUGGUUUGCCAGAAGCGGCUUAGUCAUGCUGGCCACAUGACCCGGAAGCUGUUCACCGGCUCCCUCGGCCAGUAAAGCGAGAUGAGCGCCGAAACCCCAGUGUUGUCUGCGACUGGACCUAACGGUCAGGGGUCCCUUUACCUUUACCUAUUCCUGACAGAGAUACAAAUUCUCAGAGUGGCAUAAGAGCCACUCCCCCUUUCACAUGAAACUCUGGAACUCAAGGCAGCAUACAUAGAGUUUCGGGAUGGCCUCCCAUCCAGGCCCUGACCAGAUCCAUGCCUGCUUAGCUUCAGCAAGAUGGCUACAUCCUGUGCACUCAAGCCACCUUUUCACUUAGCAAACUUUUCACUUUUGCUCCUCCCCAUCUCUUCCCCUCACCCAACACCUACUGUUCAUGCAUUUGUUUCAGUCAGAACCUUUGUCUUUUCUUCAAAGUGCUCAGAAAUGUGACCUAGUUCACAAUCAAGCAGUGCAACAUUUGUAUUUUCAUUAAAAUAGCUGCAUUUUUAGAUUUUUUUUGGGGGGGGGAAUAUUGGCAAAACGAAACAAAGGACAAGUGGGAAAUGAAUUCCUUGGAAACACAGUGUGAUUCAUAUUUCUUUUACCUGAAGGUAUAUCUGUUUUCUGAAAUAAGUUUUUCUAAUUAUGUGAUUGCUUGAAGAUACAGAAAUGUUAAAACAAAACCCUCAGUUUAAUUAGAGCAGCCUCACUGAAAUUCAGUUUGUGUCUAAAAAAAUUUCCCAGCUGUUUCUGAAAUGCCUGGCAUGAGUUUUUGAAGGUGUGUUGUUGUUGUUGUUUUGCCACGCAAGUAGACUUUUGUGAUCAUGCGAAAUAGGGCUCUUUUACACAUUUCAUUUGUUGUUCUAGGCAAAGCAAAUGAGAUUUCUCUUUUAAUUUCAUCUCAGCGCCUUUUAAUUAAAAGUCUCAAGAUUUGUUUUCUCUUUGAAAAAAUUCUGAUACAGAAGAGUUCUGGUAAAUCAUUCAAUGGAGCUUGAAAUUUUUCCAAGCAAUGAAUAAAUUUGUAAAUGCUGAUGGCUCCAGAAUGCUAAAUAUAUAGCUGGUAUAUAUUUAAAGUUGAAAGCUGGGUGAGGGGAACAUUUUAAAUGUUUCUCGGGGGAAUAUUAGUAAAAAGUACCAAUUAAUUCUGGUGAUUAGUUUUCUUUUCCUCUGAUACCAUAUUUUCCUUCAUUAAUGCCUCCUUUUCAUUCUUAUAGGAAGGUUAUUAAAAGCUUCCUGAAGAAGCAGUCUCCUGUUUUUUUGUUGUUGAGCCAUUUCCUGAUCAGCUGGUGAAGCAAGCGGGAGUAGGGAGAUUGUCUGGAGGGAUGUAAGUCUCCCCUUCCCAUGAUCUCUUCCCUGGCCGGCAGUGCCCAGCUGGUCGGGAUUGCUAGCAUCCAUCUGCCUCGGGAUGCAACGGUGGAGUGUGCCUUUGGGGCUAAAGUCAAACUGUUGGAAAGUUACAGCGCCUGCUGUGGCUGUAGAGACCGAUAGGGGAGAGACAUGUUUUGUUGCAGCUGGGGAAGAUGAAGGCGUCCGGUUGUGCUGCUGCAGAUUCACCAUGACAUUUGUUCUUUCUGCACUCCUUCCAGAGGUCAUUCCUUCCCUGGUCAUUGCUGUGGCUACAUGACCUGACUGUCUGUCUCCAGAGACUGCCGUCGUCUGCAAGCGAUUCCCACACAGUGGGGUUAAUGUUGCCAGCCUUCGUGCCACAUUUGCAGAUGUCUUUGCAACACAGAUUUGGUCUAGCUUCCCCUAGAGCAAACCAUGGAAGAUUCUGCCAUUCUGUGGACAUGACUAAGCCAGCAUAGAUGUCGCUGAGACAGAAGUGUGAAUAAGCUGGGAAUGGGGGCUUGUGAGAGCGCAUCUUGGCUGGAAACUCAGUCCUGCCAUGUGAUGCGUGGAAGGCGUUGAGCAUCGCUCCUGGCGGGUGAAAUGGGGAGAACCAAACUUAAAACUGGAAAAAUGAGAAACGGAGAGAAACUGAAAUUGACAGAUUCACCCACCCUACUUCCACCAUCUUUGGUUGUGGCCCCACCUGCGCAGCACCCAGAAGGCUAUUUGUGGGGAAAUGUGGUCCUCUGCAUGAAAAAGAUUUCCCACCUUUGCUUCUUUCCAAAAUGGUUUCACCAUUUCCUUUUUAACUCUGCAUUUGUGAUCAAGACAUAAUUGUGGGCUCCUGUUUUGUAAUGUCUGCCUUAUCAGUUCACAUUUGUAAGGCUUAGGGAAGCAGUCUCGGUCAUUGACUAUGUCUUCGAACAACCCCUGCUAAAAUUGCCUCCUGGCCUGAUGCCACCCGCCAUGAUUACAUUAAAUGUAUUACCAUAAAACCUCAGAGUUAUAGAACACUUUGAGAAGAGAGGGAGUGUUUGUAACAGACUUCAGAAUGCUCAUGGCCAUUGACUCAUUAAAUGUUCUUAACUCAUUAACCAUCUUGGGGUUUGCCCCCCCUCUUUUUAAUUGAUUGAGAAGCCAAUUAAAAUAAACAUUGUGCUAUCUCAUUAGGAGUGUUAGUCCGGGCAUUUUGAAAUGUUUGCUACAGUUUCUCUCAACCGUAGGUAAGCUGGGUGCCAUAACAUUGUCUGGUACCUUGAGCCUUGCAGCGGCAAGAGCAGAAAUUGACUCUGGCUGUGAAGCUGUGGUGCAUUUCACUGUUGGAGUGUUGUGGGUAUCAAGGAGUUAAACACUCUGUGCUCAUUGGGAAUGCUGACUCAACAGCAUGUGAUGACUAAGCAUCAUAAGACAUGGGGCGUUGCCUAAUUGAUCCAUUGCCAUGGAUCAAGGCAUGGUUGACUUUAGGUGGCAGGGGUGUGAAGAGAUGACGGCUUCUCCCCAGAAUGUAAUUCCACCUGUAGGCUGUGUAUCCUGAAUGUAAG
Non-coding RNA from Podarcis lilfordi (Lilford's wall lizard), 10212 nucleotides. NCBI's taxonomy places the organism in Eukaryota, Metazoa, Chordata, Lepidosauria, Squamata, Lacertidae. The record is from the annotation of a GenBank genome assembly.